AUUGAACUCAGGGGCUCCUGAUCGCUGAGUUACAUCCCCAGCUCUAUUUUGUAUUAAGAGACAUGAUGUCACUGAGUUGCUAAGCACCUCGCCAUUGCUGAGGCUGGCUUUGAACUCAUGAUCCUCCUGUCUUAGUCUCCGAAGCCACUGGCAUUACAGGUGUGCGCCACCAUGCCUGGCUCAUUGUUUGCUUUUAAUGUAGAAAAUAUUACAAUACUUUUGCACAACAUUACUGAUAGAGUAGGAAAUCGGUGUGAGUGGGAAAAAAUGGAUAGAAUUGGCUAGAAGACUUGUGUCCUUAAGAAGAAAGGGGCUGCGGAUGUGAAGGCAUUGGCUUUAGAUAAGAGUAUACAUAGCUGCCUUUGGGAAAGGCCUGGAAGACUGUGUGAAGACAGUGGCUGAGCCAGACCAUGCAAGAGUGCCAAUAAUUCACCAGGAGAGAGAGUUGAGAUAAUUAUCUGUGCUUAAUUUUUCCAACUUCAGCUAGGCACAAUACACCAGUAAAAAUGAUUUGGAUUCUCAGUCUGUGUUCCUGGGCAAUUUACAUAAAUGUUUUUGGCAGAGUCUCGCUUAGUGUAUUUUAUUUUCCACUGAGUGCUCAUCAUAUAGACCCCUGCCUGGCAAACAGUAGUUGCUUAAUAAAUAUUAUAUGGAUUAAUUUUAGAACUGAAUCAACUGUACUGUAUAUGCCAAAACUACCCUACAAGUUUUUUUUUGUUUUGGUACACUGGGUUGAACUCAGGGGUGCUUAACUACUUAAGCCCUUUUUAUAUUUUACUUAGAGACAGGAUAUGGCUAUAUUGCUGAGAC
RNAcentral lists this long non-coding RNA (810 nucleotides) under Marmota monax (woodchuck). Lineage: Eukaryota; Metazoa; Chordata; Mammalia; Rodentia; Sciuridae. The record is from RNAcentral.